UGAGCAACCUGCCUUUCANAGGGGGAUAACAGUUGGAAACGACUGCUAAUACCGCAUAACGCUGCGAUGGGGCAUCCCGAUGCAGCCAAAGGAGCAAUCCGCUGGAAGAUGGGCUCGCGGCCGAUUAGCUAGUUGGUGGGGUAACGGCCCACCAAGGCGACGAUCGGUAGCCGGACUGAGAGGUUGAUCGGCCACAUUGGGACUGAGACACGGCCCAGACUCCUACGGAAGGCAGCAG
Molecule: ribosomal RNA, 238 nt
Filed under: uncultured bacterium
Lineage: Bacteria
Description: partial 16S ribosomal RNA
Rfam family: Bacterial small subunit ribosomal RNA
Source: RNAcentral